AGUCUUCUCUGGAGUAAGACAGCUGAACUUGAGAACAAGCUGUCAUGUGUUUAGCCGAAAGAAUGACGUCCCUGAAGGCUCACAGAGCCAUCAUUAAGGAUCAGACAGGCUGACAGUAUCCCAACUCUUUUUGGAAUCCGGGUUGAAGAAGUACAUUUAAAGACUCCUCUGUGAUUUAAACAUACAGCAAGUGAACAGUUUAUGAGCUACAC
Notolabrus celidotus (New Zealand spotty) is the source of this 212-nucleotide long non-coding RNA. RefSeq lists it as uncharacterized. Lineage: Eukaryota; Metazoa; Chordata; Actinopteri; Labriformes; Labridae. The record is from RefSeq and is a predicted model, not a curated record. The transcript has 3 exons.